CCUACGGGUGGCUGCAGUGGGGAAUAUUGGACAAUGGGGGGAACCCUGAUCCAGCCAUGCCGCGUGUGUGAAGAAGGCCCUCGGGUUGUAAAGCACUUUCAGUGAGGAAGAACGCCUGGUGGUUAAUACCCAUCAGGAAAGACAUCACUCACAGAAGAAGCACCGGCUAACUCCGUGCCAGCAGCCGCGGUAAUACGGAGGGUGCGAGCGUUAAUCGGAAUUACUGGGCGUAAAGCGCGCGUAGGUGGCUUGAUAAGCCGGUUGUGAAAGCCCCGGGCUCAACCUGGGAACGGCAUCCGGAACUGUCAAGCUAGAGUGCAGGAGAGGAAGGUAGAAUUCCCGGUGUAGCGGUGAAAUGCGUAGAGAUCGGGAGGAAUACCAGUGGCGAAGGCGGCCUUCUGGACUGACACUGACACUGAUGUGCGAAAGCGUGGGUAGCAAACAGGAUUAGAUACCCGAGUAGUC
RNAcentral lists this ribosomal RNA (465 nucleotides) under Vreelandella stevensii. Its description in RNAcentral is "partial 16S ribosomal RNA". It matches the Rfam family "Bacterial small subunit ribosomal RNA", at positions 338 to 795 of the family's 1533-position model. Lineage: Bacteria; Pseudomonadati; Pseudomonadota; Gammaproteobacteria; Oceanospirillales; Halomonadaceae. The record is from RNAcentral.